This 497-nucleotide ribosomal RNA is filed under the name uncultured bacterium. Its description in RNAcentral is "partial 16S ribosomal RNA". It matches the Rfam family "Bacterial small subunit ribosomal RNA", at positions 28 to 507 of the family's 1533-position model. The record is from RNAcentral.
GAUGAACGCUGGCGGCGUGCCUAAUACAUGCAAGUCGAGCGAACGGACGAGAAUCUUGCUUCUUUGAUGUUAGCGGCGGACGGGUGAGUAACACGUGGAUAACCUACCUAUAAGACUGGUAUCACUUCGGGAAACCGGAUCUAAUACCGGAUAAUAUUUUGCACCGCAUGGUUCAAUAGUGAAUGACGGUCUUGCUGUCACUUAUAGAUGGUUCCGCGCUGCAUUAGCUAGUUGGUAAGGUAACGGCUUACCAAGGCAAGGAUGCGUAGCCGACCGCAGAGAGGGAUCGGCCACACGGGAAGGGGAACACGCUCCAGAGUACUACGGGAGGCCGCAGUAGGGAAUCGUCCGCAAUGGGGGAAAACCUGACGGAGCAAGGCCGCGUGAGUGAUGAAGGUCUUCGGAUCGUAAUGCUGUGUUAUUGGGGAAAAACAGAUGUGUAAGUAGCUGUGGACAUCUUGACGGUAACUAAUAAGAAAGCCCCGGCUAACUACGUG